This is a long non-coding RNA of Leptidea sinapis, 477 nucleotides long. RefSeq lists it as uncharacterized. The record is from RefSeq and is a predicted model, not a curated record. The transcript has 4 exons. Lineage: Eukaryota; Metazoa; Arthropoda; Insecta; Lepidoptera; Pieridae.
UCGGAAAGGACAAACGCUCCUCGCUCGUAGCUGUUGCGAACUCGUGAAAUCUCGCGUUUACUCGUGGAAGUUCGUACUAGUGUGUGUGUGUUUGUGUGUGUGUAAAUGUUCAACUAAUUUGCGAUGUGUCUUACCUGGUAACGUGUUGAGUGACAGUGAUUGGUUAAAACAAGUGAGAGUGAAGAGGCCGACGUCACAGAAGACACGAUACGAUUGGCACAAAAGAUCAAAAUGAGAGUCCGUGAUGUAGUGUUAGUGACAAUAUUGUGCGUGGGUGUGGCGGCCAUUUUGGUCGCAGUCGGAGCGUAUCUGGUGAUACGCCGCAGGAGGCGCAAGCGAGAGGAUGAUGAAGAAGGCACAAGCUGUGCUAUCAGGGCGGAUUCUACCUCGGCUGCAGAUGGAAGAGAGAAAUGUACCAGUAGGCUAAAUGGAUUUCUUAACUUAAAGACACCGUUGAUUAGCACAAAGACUUUGGGG